Small nuclear RNA from Dromiciops gliroides (monito del monte), 111 nucleotides. Lineage: Eukaryota; Metazoa; Chordata; Mammalia; Microbiotheria; Microbiotheriidae. The record is from RefSeq and is a predicted model, not a curated record.
GCUUGCUUCAGUCGCACAUAUACUAAAAAAAAAAUUGGAAUGAUACAGAGAAGAUUAGUAUGGCCCCUGUGCAAGGAUGACACGCAAAUUCAUAAAAAAAAAAAACCCAAC